RNAcentral lists this unclassified non-coding RNA (21 nucleotides) under Mus musculus (house mouse). RNAcentral's name for it is "oocyte_clustered_small_RNA12". The record is from RNAcentral. Lineage: Eukaryota; Metazoa; Chordata; Mammalia; Rodentia; Muridae.
UCAGAUGUGUCGUCCACGGGG